CGAAGGCGGCUAUUCAGGCAUUUCUAUAAUCAUCCUGAUAACGAACGUUUGACGUCAUGAGCCCCAUUGCAUGUUGGGAUGGAAGGGGGCGGAAGGCUUAGAGGCAGCGCAGCGCCUUCUGGGAUGCAGAGAGGAGCCGCACUCCUCAGUGAGGCCGCGUGAAUUGCGUUGCCACGGAAACGGUUGCUGGUGUCGUUGGAACCUGGUUCUUUUGACUGAGAAGCGGCCACCAGGGGCGCUACUCACAAUAUGUUCAAGGUAGCCAGCAGAGCAGAGGUGAGGUGGAAAGAUCAAUUUCACCUCUCGCCAGACAAGCAUUAGGUGAAUCAUUUGAUGCAAUUACAAAUGCUAAGCCUAAUGUAUGACACCCAGGAAAAGGUAAAGAAGAGCGGGAAGGAGAAGCUCCCUGACGAUUUCCAUGGUAAAGCUAUAUGUCACGUUGUCUCUGAUCAUCUUCAAAACAAGUCUGCGGGUUUUAUCUUUAAGUUGAUGUGCUCUGUCUUCACUCAAGGUGGAGCUGAAACCAGCUGCAAAAUUUCACUCUUCUGGAAUCCAGAGGAUCCAAGAAAAAUGGGGUCUACGUUUCUAAGUCAGAAAGAAGCAGUGGUUUCCCUGCCGCUCAGCGGACACCGCUUUCGCGAGCUGGGUCGGGCACCGGGCAGGGAGAGGAGGCUCCGGGUGAGCCGCCUGGGACCAAUUGCUGACCCGGCUGGGCACUGCAGGCGCAGUUAAAAGCGAAUGGUGCACGCAGCUCUCCCGAGCUCCCCGUACACACACGGCCUCCUCCAAAGGAAGCCCACUGCUGCCUAGGACCUCAGGCUGGUGUCGCUGGAGGGGUGUCAAGCUUGGAGGACUUCAGCCUGGAUGCUGCUUACCGAAGGGAAAAGGCACCCUCUCUAGUCAAGCCUCCCCUGCAGAGACUCCCAUCAGCCGGCCCCUCUCCCCAGGAACUCUCAGACACCCCUACAGACGCCCAUCCACGAACGAUCUAGCCUCGGAAGAAAGUGGAGAGGUCUGGGGAGAGCGAGACUGGAGUGAAGAGGUGGGGACUCCAGUCUGCAGCAGUUGGGGAGGGCUUGGAAAAUGGAGCAAGCGACCAGAGUAAAGGAAGGGCAGGGGCCCCGUCCCAGCAACCUGUAGGAUUGACGAUGAUCGCGAACUUGGGGUGGGAGGCAGUGGUCCCCUCGGAGGUCCUCCGCCCGAGUCCCGUCCCGUUGGGCUCGGCGCGCGGAGAGGUGCAGGGUGUAACUUCGGGGGCCAGCGCCAUGGUUGCAGGUCCCGCUCAAUCGCCCCGCUCGCUCAGCCCGCCGCUUACCUCGGGCAGCCGCAGCCCGCCGUCCAGAAGCAGAGCCCUAGCCAAGGGAGCCACCGGCGCGCCUAUCCAGCGCCUCCCCCCUGUCCCCAUGCUGCUACUCCCGCUUCGGAGUACGGCUCCUCUUCCGCGCCCUCGGAGCCUGGGAGAGGCACGGCGAGCCACGGGCCAAGACCAGUGGGUCCCGGGGGUCUUCAGCGAGUAACUGCUCCAUGGCCUGUCCCUACAGCACCGGGGCAGGUCACUCCGAGCCGCCGCGCGCUGGAUACCCAGAGGAUGCGCGCGCUCCCAUAGCCUCCCACAGCGGGGCGAUCACUGCCGCCACAGUCACUGCCAGAGUCGCCCGCCCUCCCCUCCGCACCUCUCGCUCGCAGCGCUCCCGCCGCCGCCGGAUUCCGGGCUGAAGGGAAGAGAUUUUUAACCAUUACAGCCGUCCACUCACGGAAUGCUUUGUGAAAUACCGAUCCUCCAAUACCAUUGUGGUGAAGAACCCAGGCUGCAGGCAGACACACCUGGUCUUACUGCCAAGCUACAGGCCACUUCACCUCGCUGUACCUCUCUUCCUCGCGUGUAAAAUGAGGGCAACACCAACUGCAUAGAGUCGUCGAUCUAGAUAUUUUUAAAUUGUUUUUAAAAAAUGGAUAAUAGUGGUACAGCCACUUUGGAAGGCAGUGUGGCAAUUUCUUACAAAGAUAGAUGGGGCCUUACCAUUCAACCCAACAAUGACACUUCUAGGUAUUUGCUCAAUUGACGUGAAUACUAAAUGUUCACA
This is a long non-coding RNA of Vicugna pacos (alpaca), 2084 nucleotides long. RefSeq lists it as uncharacterized. Lineage: Eukaryota; Metazoa; Chordata; Mammalia; Artiodactyla; Camelidae. The record is from RefSeq and is a predicted model, not a curated record.